This 290-nucleotide long non-coding RNA is filed under the name Serinus canaria (Common canary). RNAcentral describes it as "lncRNA (ENSSCAG00000010985.1)". Lineage: Eukaryota; Metazoa; Chordata; Aves; Passeriformes; Fringillidae. The record is from RNAcentral.
GCUGGCCAUUGCCAAGGUGCUUGAAUGACACCACGAAGAGCAGCAACAGGAAUUUGCCAGAACACUGUCCUGUGAGCAGGAAACUGAAGUCUGAACUUCUGUCUGUCCCCUUGACUGAAUCAAAGUCACUGAAGUAGAUCUGCUUGGAAAGCUUGGAUAUGGAUGAAGAUUGUGGCUCAGACUGCUAAGUUCUCCAUAAUCACCUCUCCAAAUGACAGGAGGAGCAAGAAGGAUAAUCACCUGACACUGUUGGAAACCCCAGUCCAUAUCAGAUCACACAGGGCACAUAC